RNAcentral lists this non-coding RNA (110 nucleotides) under Corynebacterium flavescens. RNAcentral's name for it is "TPP sequence". It matches the Rfam family "TPP riboswitch aptamer (THI element)". From Rfam's summary of the family: Vitamin B(1) in its active form thiamin pyrophosphate (TPP) is an essential coenzyme that is synthesised by coupling of pyrimidine and thiazole moieties in bacteria. The previously detected thiamin-regulatory element, thi box was extended, resulting in a new, highly conserved RNA secondary structure, the THI element, which is widely distributed in eubacteria and also occurs in some archaea. The record is from Rfam by way of RNAcentral. Lineage: Bacteria; Bacillati; Actinomycetota; Actinomycetes; Mycobacteriales; Corynebacteriaceae.
AGGUGUCCACACGGGGGUCCCACUAGGGACUGAGAUCGGGCUGAUAAGUGCCCGGGACCGUAGAACCUGAACCGGUUUGUACCGGCGUAGGAAGUGAGGAGCUCGUCUUG